AUGUCUACCAAUGGCGUUGAGGUUAACAGGAUGUGUGCUGCGCCCGGGGCGAUGAGCAGUUCUUUCUUCCCAGUGGAGUCACAGGAUUCCAUGAGCGUCCUAAACGGCGCUGUCUGUGCCGCCGGCUGUGCGCGGCCGCCUGUGGAUGCAGGGGUGGGCAAGGUGUGCUCUGAAGCCACCAGCGGCUGGACGCGCAGAUGCUUAUGCAGGGUCAGGGUUGGAAAAGCUCCCGAGGAGAGGGAGAUGAAUCCGAACAGGAUAUCAGCUCUGGAAUUGUCUGUCCGUGCUUAUGCAGAGAAGAGGGAUGGAACUGUUGUGUACCCAAGCAUUGGGACAAGUUUUGACUCGUUGGAUGAAGCUUAUGAAUUCUAUAAUCUGUAUUCAUGGGAGUGCGGGUUUGGUGUUAGACUUGCCAAGAGCAGAUUGAAUGUUGAAAGGAAGAGAUGCAUGCAAGAGAUUGUGUGUGCUUGUGCGGGGAAACCGUUGAGGGAAAACAGCCGCUCGACCAGGUGCGGAUGCAAUGCCAUGAUUAGGCUGCUGCGGUCGAACGACAAGGGCUGGUAUAUAGCAGAACACAAGGAUGAUCAUAACCACCCGUUGUCGUUGACCUGUGGCCAGAAAAUGCAUUGGAAGUCGCAUAAGCAUAUAGACAGAUACACAAAAGAUCUAGUGAAACAGCUGAGAGACAACAAUGUGGGGCUGGGGAAAGUGUUCAACAUUGUUGGAAGUUUUUUCGGGACAGCGGAUAAAGUGCCAUUUACCAAGAGGUCUUUGAAGACUCUGUGCCGAAAGUUGAAUAGAGAACAGUCUGACAUGGAUGCAGUCAAGAGGAUGGCGGUUCUAGCUGAAAUGAAAGCUAACGAUCCUGACUUCAAUUACACGGUGCAAGUGGAUGGGGAGAGCAGGGUAAAGACACUAAUGUGGGUAACAAGCAGAGGUUUUGACCAGUACAGGUGUUUCGGAGAUGCAAUCACAUUUGAUACAACUUACCGUACUAAUCUUUAUGACAUGCCGUUUGGGUUGUUUGUUGGUGUAAACAACCACUUCCAAAGCAUAAUUUUUGGUGGUGCCAUGAUGAGGGAUGAGAAGGAGGACACGUUCAAGUGGAUUUUUAAAGAGUUCAUCCGUAUGGUGGGCGGGAAACACCCACAAACAAUCAUAACUGAUCAAGCACGUGCGAUGGAGCUGGCUAUCGAGGCUAAAUUACCAAACACAGUACACCAUUGGUGCAAGUGGCAUGUUCUGAAGAAAGCAAAGGAGUCGAUGGGUGUGUUGUGGAGCAAGAACAGUGACUUUAAGAUGGAGUUCCACAAGCUAGUCCAUCACAUGAUCACAGAGGAAGAAUUUGAAGCUGGUUGGCAGCAGAUGCUGGAAAGGUACUCCCUGAAGAAGCAUCCAUUCUUGACGCAGAUAUAUGAGGUGCGCCAUAAGUGGGCAAAGCAUUUUAGAGGAGUGUUUUGUGCGAAAAUGACUAGCACACAACGGAGUGAGAGUGCAAAUCACAUGUUGAAAGGUUACAUGCCGCCAGGGUGUCCUAUGCACCUGUUUUUGAAACAAUUUGAGAAACUCCAAUUUGACAGGGAGUCGGAGCAGAGCUUCCAGGAGAAGAGAACAUUGUUGAGUGGUGUGUCGCUUAGAAAUAACCUGCCACUAGAGAGGCAUGCUAGCAAGGUGUACACGAGAGCUAUGUUUGAGAAGUUCGGUGAAGAGCUGUAUAAGUGUGGUGCACAUGUAUUGGAUGAGAUUGUACCAAGGAAGGUUUACAGAUCAACACAUGUAGAUGCUGCAGCAAGAGAGAAAUGGAGUAAGGUUGAGUUCACAAUCGAAGUGGAUGAUGAAGAGAGUUUUUUCAGUUGUGAAUGCGGCAUGUUUGAACACGCUGGGACCAGUUUUGGCAUAACUACUUCGCAACAUCGGCGUGCAUGUGGCGUUUCCCCUCUUGGGAGCCGGUGCCGGCUUUGCUGGCUUUGCUGUGGGACAUUCCUUAGAAGGGAAGCCAAUUAG
This 2004-nucleotide ribosomal RNA is filed under the name Triticum aestivum (bread wheat). RNAcentral's name for it is "partial small subunit ribosomal RNA". The record is from RNAcentral. Lineage: Eukaryota; Viridiplantae; Streptophyta; Magnoliopsida; Poales; Poaceae.